CACAGAGAAACCCUGUCUCGAAAAAAAAAAAAAUCCAAAACAAAACAAAAAAAGCAUGGCAUUAACAUAUACAUAGCUUAUGUCUCCUUGUAUAGUAUCCCAUCAUUCUAAUCUAUGAAAUUUGUCUAUAACCUGAAGAUGCUGUCUUUCUGCUCAACACCAAAACUAGAUAUUUUCUUGGUGAUAGGAAAAAAAAUGAUUUGGGGAUAAAAAUGCUGUUUUUUUUUUUCCCCCACAUACAUAAACUAUAGCUAACAAAAAACUUCUAACAAAUAAGGCUUUGGCAAUCAUGUGAUGUAAGUUUGCUUUGAUCUCAUUUCUGUUAAAGACAUUAAUAAAACUGAUUCUCACAUUGUAUUGAUUUUUUCUAUUAAAGUAGGUAUGAGCCUAAGGAAGUAGGUCAAACAGAUCUAUUUUUUUAAUCCAAUAUUUUCAAAACCUAACUGAUUUUUGCCCCAUUUAACAGGGAACUUUUUUGUGUGUGAACAAGCACAGGUGAAUUUCCUUCUUUAAAAUAGUUGUUCUUGAUACCUAUAGAGUUAGAAAGGUCCCGGCGUGGGAGCGGCCCGCGCUUCUCUUUAGCUAGAGUCCUUUUGUAGGCUUGGUGAGAAUGAAAACGUUUUUGCUUGGUUGAUAUAACUGAAUGAAAUACUGAGUGAAAAUAUAUCUUGUUGAAGAUUUGGGAAAUUAGGUGUAAGGUUUUGGCCUUCGACAUAGUUCACUAAAGAACAGGUUGGAGGUCCAUUAAGCCCGGGCAGAGCGUCCCUGUGCUCCUUGGCGUUCUGCACAUCUGAUUGCUUUGUAAUAAUAAUCCCUCAGUAAAACCUGUAAUCAGAAACCACCAAUUUCAUAAUUUGUCAGGAAGCUCUUAAAAGCUUUAGUAUUUGCAUCGAAAGAAAAAAGCUGGAGAGGAAAAAAAAAUACAUCUUUUAUAUGAUGUUAUUUUACAGGGGAACUGUGGGCAACGAAAUAGCCUGCUACAAUUUAGGUGUGGUACAGAAAACUAGGGCAACACUUACUUUUAGAAAUAUCAAGUGUUAUUCACUGUUUUAUAAUUAAUUACAUAAUUAUACACCAGAACACAAAGAUCCCCGGAUACCUUAAUAGAAACACUGCACUUCCAAAUAAAAUAACAAUAAUUAUCACCUACUGUAUUCAGAGUACUUUAUUAGCUGUAAAUGUUAACUCCCCAUAUCUGUGUGUAAAUAAACAUCAUUAAGAAUAUUAAUCUUUCCUAUAGUUUAGAAAUAAGAAAACCAAGGCAAAGAAGUUGGUUUGAAUGAUCAAUUAAGCAUCCUGCUUUGAAUGAUUUGGUGAGGCCAGAGUCAUCAAAAACAAUAGGUGUUAACAAAGGACAAAAAUCACUCUUGCUCCCAUUUAUAAAUUACCAGGCAGUCGUUAAUAUUUACAGUAGUCCCUUCUGUUCAAACCCACGUGACUAAACCCAUUUAAAACGUAAAAGCAGUAUCCUGGCGGUCCCGAUAAUUUGAAAUACCCUGGAGGGAUGAACUUAUUUCAGGACACCAUUCUAGGUACCUGAUAGUUACCUGAAGUUGUAGGCAAUUAAAACCAUUGGGUUGUGAUACUGGAGAGCUAUAAUAAGCCGAAAGUCCCCGGGUUCAAGAUAGGGGUAAAUGAAAGUUUACAAGCUACAUCCUGCUGAUAAAGCAAUCUUUUUGAGAUAGUAGCAGUUUGUUAAGGUGUCUGUGAAAGAUACAGAUUGAGGCCAUGCCCCUCCUCCCCAGGGCCCUCAGGGCUUGUCUGUAAGGUCCUAACCACCACAGUGAGCAUGACCACAAGAACAGACAGUGUAGAGCCAAGACAAGCUAAUGCGGACCCUGCAACACUGGAGAAAAACAAGUCAAGGUUAAGCAUAGCCAGAGAAGCAGUAGCCAUAAAGCAGAUAAAGUAAGGAGAUACUCUGACAGAGUGCUUCAGAACGGCAAACUCACUGGGGUGGGGUGUGUGUGUGAGAUUGAUGCCCAUUUGUGGACACCUGAGCUGGAGGAUGGGAGCCAGCCACACUUCAUGUAGGGAGCCAAGUAAGACAAAUAGUGACCUUGUGACGAUCCAAGGCUGCUCCAGCACAGGGCCGUGGAGGAGGAGAAUGAGACAGGCUCUGAAUCUGGCCCUGCCUUGGUGCCCUGGGAUGGUUGCAGCCGAGAGAAAAGCGCUCUGAGGCUUCACCGCAGUGCCUAUGAGCGAGCAGCUGCAGGGCACACACUCAGGCUUGCUACGGGUUUGCUGAACGUGGUUCAUAUGGAAAGGCUCUGUCCUGUGGUAUCCGUUGCCCAUUGGUGGACAGUGCACAGGCACAUUCUACAUUCAUUAGGAAGCGGUGUUUAAAAGAAAGAUUUGAGGUAUGUGUUCUGAAUGCAGUUUGCACCCCAAACUGGAAUUGUCCACUGCUAGGUGAUAGGUAAUUGGGAGAAAAAUUCCCCAGCAUCUCAUUGACCCCUUUAAAGAUAGCUAGAGGUUAGUUGAAAACUAACUAAACUACCAAAGCCGCAUGUUCCUUGUAUACCUGUCUGUGAGAUACUGAGGCCAGAGCUUGCAUUUGACUUGAACUGACAAGAAGCUGUCUAGCAUCAUUAAGGAAUAGAGCUACUGAUACUCGGCCUUUAGAAUCAAAGCAUUUGAAGUAUUCAAGCUUCAGACUUUACU
Molecule: long non-coding RNA, 2664 nt
Filed under: Mus musculus (house mouse)
Lineage: Eukaryota; Metazoa; Chordata; Mammalia; Rodentia; Muridae
Description: long non-coding RNA chr14:77502881-77505545
Source: RNAcentral